AUGAGGUCUUUCUGCCCAUAGUGCUUUUUCAGAGCAAGAAGUUUGGGAAGCUACAGUGCAAUAGGAAAGAAACACACACACAGCACUCUCGGCCACCUCACUGUGGUUAGGAAGCACUUCCACAUACACAGGUCAGACCAGCCCUACGGCAGACCUCUGCGAUAUACACCAAAAUGUCUCAUUAGUCAGAGCAGUCUUUCAAGAGGGAUGGAAGGCUAAAUGGGUAGACGGAGUCAACCAGAACAGGAAACCAAAUUCCCUGAAGAAUUCCCACAGCUCAGGAGUAUGCUUAGCAUAGCAGAAUAAUUCUCAGAAUUCCCAUCUUUUCUGCUGCAUAACCUCCAGCUGGCAUUGUGGUAUGGGAGAAUAGCACAAAUACACAGUUCAGAAGAGGCCACAAUAGAAAUACUGAAUUCAAUGAAUUCAACGGACCCAAGCAAGCGUCCAUGCAGUUGUGACCCCAGGUUCUCUGAAUCAAGGGCUGGGUGGGACAGAAUCAACCCAGAACAGCACUCCUGGGGGGAUUCCCCCGGAACACAACCAAUGGCAGCAGACCUUGUGCCGGGUGGAUGUUCAGAAAUGAAGCGUGCCUGAUCCCUUUCAGGAGAUUUUGCUCUCCUCUAAAAGCCUACGCACAGACUUUCCUGCACAAAUGAACUGGUCUGACAUCCCUGAGGGACCCAAAGUGAACAACUUCAUGUAGCAGUCCGUGAGAGAAGCUUUACAAUUCCAGCUUGAUUUCCCAAGGAACCCUGCCAAGGAAAGCUGUGAGUACAAGCACUGGCACAGCUAAUUUCACAUCCACCUUGACCUACCACACCCUGGUUUGAGACUUCUGUUACAUGUGCACAUUAUGCAAACCCACUCUGUGAACAAGCCAUGACUGGUUGCUUCUGGGUGAACAAUUCCCUGUUACACAGAAGUUAGGCCUAACCAUAGGGUGUUCCCCACCUUUCCCCCUGAAGCUCCCAACUAACCCCACAAAUAUCCUAGUGCCCUUCAUGGCAGAAUGUGUCUCGCCUCCCCUCGUUCUGCUCUAGUUGCUACCCUUUUCCUUUGCCGCAGUUUUGAGUAGAGUUUUUGAAGCAUCAAAGAAGCACAGCUGGGGUCACAUUAUUUUUUCCAGCCCCUGAAAAUCAUGCAAUUGUGUUAUUGACUUUUUACUGAUGAUUACUGAUCUUUUUUGAGUGCAUUCUUGUAGCUGUCCCAUAAGUAUAGUCUUGCUCAGUCAAUUUCUCUGUCUGGUUCAACUGUCAAGGAAAGUAGCAAGGUGGAGUAGCUUAGAUCAUAUUUCGAGGUUAAAUGUGUGCUAUCCAAUCCAUGCCAUGACUGACAAGACAAAAACUCCAUAUAGACUAAUUUGCACACAGUUGCCAGGGACCAGUUGCCAGGUUGUAAAUUGAGAAGCAGCAGUAUGCAGCCGGGGUGGGAAGUGAUAAAGAAGGUUAGCAGCAAUUAGGGAGAGACAAUAUCUGCCUCUUAGCAAAGUAAUCCUCUUGAUUUUAAGUACUUAACCAUCAGUACCUUUCGCCUUUCCAAUACUUCCCCAGGUCUGUAGCUCUCCAGUAAAGGGAGUUCUUAACUCCAAACAAACACAUGCAUGCACACGCGUGUGUUCCCCCGCCCGCCAUGGCGCUUCUUCCGAGCACUUACUGCUUCAGAUACUGCAUUUUCCUCACACUUCUGAAAGAGACAGACAGACAACCAAAUAUGAAAGCUGGGAAAUAAAUGAGGAGGGAAUAUGCACACCUCCAGUAACAGAGCAGUUAGUGCAGGUGUGCAAAUCUUAUCUCCAUUUACUCUCUUGUAUUAAAUUUGCACAUAGUUCAGCUCCAUUUACCCCUCAGCCAUAAAAUUUGCAUUUAUUUCUGCAUUUUUAUUACCUUUUAUUUCUGGAGUAACUGGGGAGCCAUAAAAUUAUUGAAAAGGUGAAGAGCACUGGGAAGUAUCAGCUCAGUGCUUAAAACUGAGAGGCCCCCUCUGCCAGGGAGGAAAUAUUUCUCCCCUGCUUUUUGGUGCACUGAUUCCUCUGGCUUCCCUCUUCCUACAGUGCUUCUAACUGGCUCUGCUGGGUCCCUCCUUUCACCCACUUAUUUCUCCUCUGGCCCUUUGCAACUGUUAGCUGACAGGCCACUUCAUCUUGUCAAUAUUCAUAUUGCAAGUGUGCAUUGGCACAGUUCUGAAAGAUGGACAAAAAUAACUGUCACCUUGAUUGUGCAUUUUUGAGGCCUCUGUGUGUGUGUGUGUAUGUGUGUAUGUACUUAUUUUAGCCAGAGAACAGGUAUUAUUUCAGCAUCAGCAGGACGGGUAAGACUGCAAAAAGUGAGUGAUGGAAGCUUUUUUGCUGUUCUUGCCAUGUUUUUAUUUAUUUAAAACUUUUCUACCCCGUCCACUAAUGACGCCUCGGGUCAGCUUUGCCAACCAUGGCAACUCAGGGUAGAAUCAUUCUCCCAGGUUUCAGUGAUGCAACAACCCAGUGUGAGCAAGAACACCUGGUGACAAGCCUCAGGUUCUCAAGGUAGCCUUAGGAUCUCAAGGUCCCCAAAACUAGGCUACCUGCAGAAUAUGCUGCAGGUUCAGGUGACAUGAAAAUCCCAGGCCAGCUUCCAUGGUGGGAUGCCAUGUCAUGCAAACUCAGUUUUUGUCUCAUUGUGUAGAGAGGGGACCCUACCUCUUGCACAUUAUGGCCUGCUCAGGUGGAUUCGUCCAGUUCUGAGAAGCAAGUGGGGCAGAGGACUUGGCUGUGUCAAGCUUACUCAAUGCAGAUGCAUCAGGGAGAGUGAGAGAACAGGCAUGCCUAGGAAAGGGCGGAGGAAGACUUUUCAGAGCUAGAGUGGGCAGGGAUAAGGGGGAGGUCCUUGGCCUGGUCAAGCGACAAUAGGUGAAACAAUUGCAAAGUGUUGGGUGUUCCUGCCAUCUAGUCAGCAAGCACUAGGAGCUACCUUGAGGGUGGAGCCAGAAGCUUUGUUGAAAAGGUGGGAGGGGAGGUUUCCAUUUGGAUUCAGCUCUUUACAAGGGCAGUUGCCUCCCCCAUAUCCCUAAACAAAUGCUAUUCUGAGUUAAACUUUUCUGUAACAACUUCAGUUUCAAUAAAAUGACCUGGGUUUCUAUGGGUUCAUUUUGAGUCUGCUGAAGGAGAGGGAAAGAGGGAAGUGACCUGCUCAUGACAUUUAUACACAUCUGAUCUUUCUUCAGGUCAAUUUUUGAAGUUUGCUUGUUGUACCACUUGAUUGAUUUGAUCCAGACUUGGUGUGCUUCAAGAUGAGGUUUUUAUUUUGCAUUCACCUUGCUUUGUGCAUGGAAUUUUAUGGAGGAGGUACUGUCCAGAUGAGAUUAUCUUCCAUUUGUAGCCUUUCCAUGUUGUCCAACCAUUCCUUCAAUCUAGUCACUGUUGUUAACCAGAAAAAAAGCUACAGAAGGAGAGAUGGGAUAGCUGCACAAUGCCUUUGGACAGCUAGAGCUAAGAGACCUCUGUAUGGAAGCACCCUGUCGCCUGGUCAUACCUGACCUGUUGAAAUCAAUUGGACUAACAGGUCCAUUGAUUUUGAUGGGUCUUUUCUAAGUAUAGUGAAGUCUAAUCAACUAACAGUACAUGUUCUUCCCAACUGGCUGGUUGCAUAGUUGUAAUGGCCUACUGCAAACAUGCAAAACGUAUUAUCGAAAGUUAAAAGUCUGUUAAUUAGGGUCCAAAGAGAGAAGAUGCAAAAGAACAAAAGCUAUUUGUAAUAUUUCCUUUGUGCAAUAAACAUAACUUACUAAACUCUGUAGUGCUAGUAUAGGCAAGAUGAUACUGGCUGCAUUCUUGCAAUUUUUAAAAAAGAAAUUAAUAUGCUGACUCCUGACUGAUUUUAACAACUGGAUAUGUAGAACCAUUAUUCUAAAGAUAUGCAGGAAUAUCCUAACUUUUGAGCAAGUUGAAGAAAUGUAGAUGUUAAGUUCUACCUCUUAAUGCAGAUAGGUUGUGACCAGUUCAAAUUUGCCUGAGUUGUCUAACCAGCAGGCAGAAGAAGAAUUAAAAGAAAUGGCAUGAAGAGCUCAAUUUUUAGCAAAUUCAAUCAACUGAUACCUUAGGCUCAGAAUAGAUGGUUGGCUAGGAACCUUUUGUGAAACUUUGAAACAAGUGUUCUAUGACCUUUUUUGAGCAGAUGGUAAAAUCAAUAAUGAUGGCAAAAUCUUGAAUUUAUCCACAUUUUUCGGCAUCCAGGCACAAAUUAGAAUUGUUCAUUCUGUGUUUAAUUUUAAACAUAUGCCAAAGUUUAUGAAUGGUCUUUGCCUCCCUGUUGAUGGUUUGCUAAGUUUUUAAUGGUGUGUCCUAUGCUGACUGCACAGAAUUUGGGGGUUUGCAUGGUAGUAAAUUUGAUUGCACUACAGAAUAUGACACCAUUUGAUUGUAUCCCAAAGGAUCACACUGGUUAUCCCAAACAAUUGAAAGAAGGACUGCCUUAGAAACUGUGGCUUUAGACCUGAGGGGGAGGCGUUAGUUUAAAGAGCGUUAACAAUGCCAGAUCUUUGCCAGCGUACAUCUUAAAGCAUUUUUCCAAGUAUCAAUUAAGCCUUGCAUCAUCUCUGUGAUGUAAGCAUUGCCAUUUUCAUUUGUGAAGACAAGUUGAAAGGAGAAUGGAAGGGUGAGGUUGGAAUUUUCCUCGUUACACGCCUACAAUUAAGGUAAUAUUUUAAUCUCUGCAGAUACCUGCCUACAAAAAUGUUAAAAGAGUUCUGCAUUCCUGCAGUGCUUCCCAAGUUCUUUUUGUGAAGGAUGCAUACCAUAUUCCCCUUUUCCCCCUGAGCUACCCACCUCUUCCCAAAGACAGCUCAGCAAAUAUUUAUGGCUUUUUCUACAUUUUUUGUGGCUGAUUGUCUUGUAUAUGAAGGUGCAGAAUGUUAGGGUCCAGUACUGUUUCUGUGUCAAGGUCAUAUUCUCAAUAGGAAUAUGGUGGGCUGGAAGAGAACGCUUUUAUGCAGUGAAGUCAAACAUGAAAUUCACUUGGUGCAAUCAUGUGUGUUAUGAUGGAGAAAAGUCCUGCAACUAUGGAGGGAUGUGAGAAUUGUAGGACUUUUUUCCAUCUCAGCAUGCAUAGGAGUACACUUUCAGAAGUUUUUCAAGGCUGUUUCUAGAUUAGUUUUUUGUGUGCAAUUACCCUGCUUAAAUACAGAAUGUUAUAAAGGGUCCAAGUCAGGGGUAGGGAACUUAUUGUCAGGGACUGAACCUGGCACUCUGGGGUUUCCCUUUUCCCCCAGGGACCAAUUAUUUUGUGGCUUCCUGGCUUCUGUGAAAUGUUUACUCUGAAAGAAUGUUUUCAUACCUCCACUGAGUUGGGAAGGAAGACCACCUUCAAACCAGGGGAUCAGCUGACAGCAUGGAGGUCAGUACUGUAUCCCUUGCGCUAUACAGCCUAGCCUGACUGGUUGAUAGAAGGCCCAGAGCACUGGUUGUGCCAAAGGUACGCUGCCAGAUACUGUCCUGCUCUGGGAUUGCCUUCAGCACUUUAUACACUUCAAAUCAGAAAAUGGUAUUCUGGUACUUUUUAGAUACUUUGAACUACAGCUCCCAUAUUUCUUGCUCAUUGGCCAGGCUGCCUGGGGACUGAUGGGGCUUGUAGUCCAAAUCAUUUGUAAGGCAUCAGAUUUGCUUUAAAUCUUCCAUUGACUACAUCAUCUCAGACUUUGAAUACAUAUGGCAAAUAUAUCAAGGAAGUAUAACCCUGGCCCUUUUCUAGAUGUAGACAGAGUAUGGGAACAAGCAGCUAUCCCAUACCUGCCAAUGACCACAGAUGGACCAUCACAGUGUUCCACUUGGACAGGGAUUUUGUCAACUGGAAGCAAAAAAUGAAAAUCCAUUUGGUUGUAUACUUUCAUUGACGGUCCACAGAAAUCCAUGGCCUGUAAUUUGUGAUUGGAUUCUGGGGCCAGGGUGUUAGAUUUCUGUGAAAUGCUAGCAUAGGUCUUGAUUGUAUAGUCAGAAAUCAGUGGGUAUAUGAGAUUAAGGAUAAAUCUAAAUUCAUUUGAUGAACAGGUCUUGCCUGUAGCUGAUGAUAAUUUAAUAAGAAUUUGUAGUUCAGUAAUAUACCACAUGUUGUCUCUGUUCAUGGCAGGAAUGCUAGUAUGGGAUUAGAUGGGCCAUUAAUAUAGGUCAGCAUACGGACAAUCCUUUAUCUAAAGGCAAGUACUAGCCAUUUAUCUGCUCGCAAUAAGUGAUCAGGGGCUCUUGCUUUUCCAGGAUAGAGCAAGAGAAGUGGAAGAGGUGACUUCCUGCUCUGCAUUUUCACUAAAUGGCCAUUUUAACCUCAGAUGGCAUUUCAGAGAGGGAUAGAAUGAAGCUGAAACUUCUUCAGUGUACCUCAUACCCUGGCUGCCCCAAUCUCCUCCCCUCCCCAUUUUCCUGACCUUGGAGAACAGCCAGCAUGGUUCUUUCCAAGCCAGCUGUGAGGGAGGAGUAUUGAAAAUUGGAUUGUUAGCUUAGCAGUUGGAGCAUGACACUAUCCUCUGUACUGGGAAUUCCAACUAUCCAAUAGCCCUUCAGAUGUGUAGGGGCCACAGAAUUAGGGUUCUGUGAGGAAUCCAUUUGAGGAGGAAAUCCAUCAUAUUCCCUGGACUUGGCUACCUGGACUCCUGUCUGCUUUGCAGUGGCCUUGAGUCUGAGUUCCCGGCAAGCAUGCUUGGCAUUCACCCACCCAUCAGGGGGCAUUCAGCAGGAAUCAAGCCCUACAUGUUGUACAAGCAGUAUGCCUCUUCUGCAUCACCUGCAGGAGUCAUUUGGACUGCUGCUCUUGACAUGGAAGGAGGUUGAUCAUGUGGGGCUCACCCUGCACGGCUGCUAGCAGCAUCCCUCUUUCACACUGAGUGCAGGCACUGUUUGAGCUGCUGCGCCUGAGCUGGACGAAUAUUGACUGGGCGGGGCUUACCAGGAAUGGAGACUGCUGCACAAGCAGUGUACCUCUUCCACACUCAUUGUGGCAGCCAUUUAUGCAGCUGUA
Varanus komodoensis (Komodo dragon) is the source of this 6974-nucleotide long non-coding RNA. RefSeq lists it as uncharacterized. The record is from RefSeq and is a predicted model, not a curated record. The transcript has 5 exons. NCBI's taxonomy places the organism in Eukaryota, Metazoa, Chordata, Lepidosauria, Squamata, Varanidae.